AUUCCACUGCCUAGUUACCAUCUGAAAGGUUCUAUUUUGCCACCGCAACUUUAAUUAGAUUGUUAUAGUUCAGACUAAGGGGAUCAAAAUUAGUCAUCUGUUAGCUAUGUACUGUGGACCUCAACACUAGCUGAGUAGCUACGUAGCUAAUCAUUGAUCUUGUCUUGGGUGAAAGGCUGGCGUUUGUUAAUUCAGAUACUAAAAGGUAACCGACACUGACUUUAUUUGUUUACUUUCCUUCUGAACUCUUAUUUGCUUAGCUUCUAUUGAUGAUAUUUCUAAUCUUUUAUCUUCGUCGGUAAACUCAACUGCAUCUCAGUUUUCUGUUCCCAUUUCCUGGAUUGCGGGUCCUGAUGCGCAAGAUUCUUCUGUUUGCUACAGCGCACGCAGGCCUGGACGAUGGCAAGCAUUGAUGUGCGCACGUCGUUGCAACAGCCACAUCUCAACCAUCCCGACGCACGCAAUAAUCAGAGGUGCCAAAAUGAUUUGGUGUUUGCAAGGGUCGCUUUUGUUGCAUUUUCUACAUGAGAAACCAUCUCAGGCUAUUUGGAUGCACCUGCACAGUACUGAUAGUACAUGAAAUUCAUCAACCUGCUGUUGCCGCAACCAACCAAAAUCUGCUCUAACAGAGUGAUGAAUACAAUAUUCAUGCUAAGCUUUCUUCAAAUUAUGCUAAUUGAUCUUAAAAAGCUGGCUACUGGUGUUAUUUGCUGCAAUUUAUUUCUGACAGCCAGGUAGUCUUGGAAUGCUUUCGUGAUGCAAUUUAUUUCUGACAGACAAGCUAUGCUAAUUGAUCUUUAAAAGCUGGCUACUGGUGUUAUCUGCUUUGUGGAAGGCUGUUAGCAUUAAAAUUUAGUGCUCGGCUGUUCAUCAUAGUCUCAUUCCCUAGAUAAUUAAUGAGGCAUGAAAAAUAGGUGAAAUUGCAGGAAAAUUGAAGAUGGGAACACGAUUCAUUUUGUCAAUGAGAACAUCUACUGUUACAGAUACACUUUCUGUAUUCUACCUAUCGAUGGCGUAAUGUUUGAAUAUUAAGUCAUUUCUUUUUGUCAUUAGCAGGUGCUUUUAUUUAUGUUCAUAUUCCACGUAUGCAUGUGCUGCUCCGGUGAUGUUUUAUUAGUUGAUUGGCAUAUAUGGAUCUCUCCAUGUUUAUUAGUUGAUCUCCAACCCCUACUUUGCUGUGGUGCUAUGGGAGCAAGAAGAGCAUGCAUGCUUUCUCUCUACAUCUAGGGUCCAUAUGGCCAGAUUGACGGGCCUAAACUCUGGCUCAAAGGUUUCUUUCAAGAAUCAUGAGAGAACAUUCAAGGAGUGGAUUAUUUGGAAAUUAGAACCUUCAGAUUUCUUAGAAGUGAGGUUACUUUCCAACUAGAAUUAUAGGCAAGCAUUGGUCUUUAAUUUGGAAGUGAUUAUCAUGUCUAAGAAGGGAGAUCAACCCGGUUUGGUGUACAUGAUCUUCACUCAGAUUUAUGUGAAUAUAAGCGUAAGAGGUCUAGUGGCAAUGCUACAAAAUCAUUGCAGGCGUGAGUAUCCAGAUUGCACUACUGCUGGCCGUUUCUUGCCAUUGCCUACAACAGGCUUCUGACAAAGCCAAGUCAUGGCCUCAUUAGGCCCCUUUUUUCAGCCAAACUGAAAGCACUUCAUGUUAGCUUGUAUUCGCUUUUGGAUUAACUACAAUGCAUUGUACCCAUCCAUGCUCCAGGGAUAUAAUAACAUUGUAGAUAGACGGAGACUGAAUCAGUUCACACUACUUUGAUGUCUAUCGAGCCAAUGGGACAACAAAGAAAAGAAGAACCGGAAGCAGGUUAUCUAUCUUCACGAGCAAGUCGGUGUUUGUAAACCUUCACCAGAGCCAUUCCAGCUCUUUCAGAGCCACAAGGCAAGGAAGUUGAGGAACCAAGACCCCAACGGCGCGGAGCAGUUUGCCGUCGAGAGGACUAGGGCUGCCAUCAGGGACCUCUAGACCAAGCUCAACAUCUCCCUCGUGCCUCCAUCAACACCGUGUCUUGGAGGGUCGUCGCCGUCCGCGACGACGAGCUACUGCCGCAGCUUUGUCAGCCACACGGUUAGAGGGAGGCAUCAAGGGCCUGCCACCGCUGCCGGGGCCGACGUGCGUGUAAUUUCUAUUAAUGUAUCUUAUGUUGCCAAACAACAACAUGCUCCUGUCAAUGCUAUAUCGUUGUGGGUAUGGCAUUUCAGUUUCUUCCUCAGGUGAUAUUCCAAUAUAAUAAGUUCCAUCAAGAAUUGCAUGUA
This is a non-coding RNA of Triticum urartu, 2247 nucleotides long. The record is from RefSeq and is a predicted model, not a curated record. NCBI's taxonomy places the organism in Eukaryota, Viridiplantae, Streptophyta, Magnoliopsida, Poales, Poaceae.